GCGAUUGAAUAGCGCAUGCCGCCUCGCCAUAGCGCAGGCGGCUCAAUAACGCAACCCUUGCCUUUUCUGAAGCACCGUUAUUUGAUCCCUCGGCGGCCUCGCCCGCCAACAGGGACCCUGAAAACACUUGCAAUCCUAGUAUAAACCUUCUGAAAUAACCUAAAUCUUUUAA
RNAcentral lists this unclassified non-coding RNA (172 nucleotides) under uncultured fungus. Its description in RNAcentral is "sequence contains ITS1, 5.8S rRNA gene". The record is from RNAcentral. Lineage: Eukaryota; Fungi.